This 694-nucleotide ribosomal RNA is filed under the name Pedicularis smithiana. RNAcentral's name for it is "eukaryotic LSU rRNA". The stretch from base 268 to 423 matches the Rfam family "5.8S ribosomal RNA". The record is from RNAcentral. Lineage: Eukaryota; Viridiplantae; Streptophyta; Magnoliopsida; Lamiales; Orobanchaceae.
UUUCCGUAGGUGAACCUGCGGAAGGGAUCAUUGUCGAAUCCUGCAAAAGCAGACCGCGAACACGUUAAACCAUAUUGGGACCGCGGGUCUUGGGGGAGACCUUUUGCCCGCACUCAUCCCUCGCACGGCGCGCGUCCAGGCGCGCGUGGUGCGGGCUAACGAACCCCGGCGCGGCAUGCGUCAAGGAAAACUCAUAGAAGCGUUGGCCUCCCUUCGCCCCGUUCGCGGUGCGCGGUGGGUGAACUGAUGUCUCUCAAAUAUCAUAACGACUCUCGGCAACGGAUAUCUCGGCUCUCGCAUCGAUGAAGAACGUAGCGAAAUGCGAUACUUGGUGUGAAUUGCAGAAUCCCGUGAACCAUCGAGUCUUUGAACGCAAGUUGCGCCCGAAGCCAUUCGGCUGAGGGCACGUCUGCCUGGGCGUCACGCAUCGCGUCGCCUCCCACACCCACACCCCAAGGGGUGAUCCGGUGGUGGGGGCGGAAAUUGGCCCCCCGUGCGCUAGUCCGUGCGGCCGGCCUAAAUGCGAGCCCGUGGCGACUCACGUCACGACCAGUGGUGGUUGAACACUCAACUCGCGUGCUGACUGUCGUUCCUUUUGAGUUGGCAUACGGGCUUUGUUGCAGACCCUACGGCGCGAUCCUAUCGCGCCUUCGACCGCGACCCCAGGUCACGCGGGAUUACCCGCUGAGUUUAA